UACAGAGGUCUCAAGCGUUGCUCGGAUUUACUGGGCGUAAAGGGUGCGUAGGUAGUGCUUCAAGUCCGCGGUGAAAUACCAGAGCCCAACUCUGGAAGCGCCACGGAAACUGAUUCGCUAGAGGUAUGGAUGGGAAGUUGGAAUUCUCGGUGUAGCAGUGAAAUGCGUAGAUAUCGAGAGGAACCCCGUUCGCGAAGGCAAACUUCUGGACAUAUCCUGACACUGAUGCACGAAAGCUAGGGGAGCAAACGGGA
RNAcentral lists this ribosomal RNA (254 nucleotides) under uncultured bacterium. RNAcentral's name for it is "partial 16S ribosomal RNA". It matches the Rfam family "Bacterial small subunit ribosomal RNA", at positions 524 to 777 of the family's 1533-position model. The record is from RNAcentral.